GCAGAGGUAGUAGAAGCAGAUAUCUGCGGAAAUGAGUCAAAAUGAACUCGUUGUGUUGCUGCUCAAAGGCCAGGCUCCAUCCCAAUCAGCGAGAGUUACCCAACUCCUGCCAUGUGAAGAUUGGCUUUGGCUCCUUCUUUGAGUGCAUUCCAGGAGAAGGAGACACUGCUGUUCUCGUGGCCUAGCUCUGCACCCUCAAAGACGUCACGGCUAAAUUCAUGGGAUAUGACUGCCAGCCUCAGUCCUAUGUUAACAGCAGCAAACUCAUUCUCAACUCAGCAGGUGAUCCUUAAACAUGAACUUUAAAGCUGCAUGGGUGGACUGAUUGGUGUCAGAGCUGGCCAAGUGCAGUGUUUCUCUGCUUGGACUAUAGCCUGGUGUAACCUGCGCCAGAAAAGGCCAUACACUUCAACAACAGACAGACUUUGGCUCAUUUGCUUCCAAAUGCUACGUUCUGCUGCACAAGUUCUGCUGCUGCACUUCGGGGCUAUGCUUGGAAUAAAGCUUGAGAACUCAUUUUCACCAUCUUCUCUUCCCGAGCUUUGGGAUCCUCGUCAUUUCUCUGAAUGUUGGCUGAGCCCUCUGAGUAAUCACAAGGUGGCCCCCGGACAGUCGGGGGGGAGCACCCACAGUGAGGGUCAGCCGGACCCCGAUUGCAUGCUGAUAUCCAGAGUGGCUCAAAUCCAUAUUAUGCGUGGUGAAGGCGAAUUGAAUCUCCCGUGUCCUCCUUCGCAUCCUCUGGCCCCUGCUGGCACCUCCGCCCGCACCGCUGGCCUCUCCUGCAUUUGUGAUUGCCCUGUACCAUGGCUCACGCACUGGGGGAUGAGGAGCCAAGAAAUAAUGAGGGCUGAAAUCCUGGAGAAACCUGGUGCCAAAACAGCUGGACAACUCCAGCCCAGCACUCCGGCAAAGCACGCUUCUCUGGGAGGAUUUUCGGUUCCUGCUGGAGGCCUGGGAAGGACGGGGACCCUCACCUCCAUCCGACUCCAGCACUCACUGAAGAAUGGUAAUCCUGAGCCGCUAAAGGUGGAAAAGCCCAGAAGAAAGAUGUGGCACUCAAACACCCCAAGUUACCAGACCUGCCUAGCAUGCACCUGCCCCAAGCAGCUUCCCCUUCUUGUCUCCAUGUGUCCUGUUGUCUUCACCACCUCCAAGGAAUGACUGCAUGUGAGGAGUGCAGGGAUCUCUGCUGGGAAGAAGGAUCUGCUUUGUGAAGUCUCAGCCUUUUUUUCCUCAUUAGAGGUCAUUUAUUUCAUGUCAGGACUGUUGGAUUGUCGUGGUACUUUCUCAGGGGUGUAAACUAGAUCAUUGCACUAACCUCAUCUUAGAAAUUUUCACGUCACUUUAUCAUCCUUAAGAGCACUUAAAAGCUCACAGGGCCUGGUUUUGGGUCUUCUGUAACAGAUCUUGGAUCCACUGAAUUACAAUAGCACGAAAGGCUUUGGGGCAAAAGAUGGAGUGGAAAAUGUGAUAGCUGUUCUGUGAUUAAAAAACCAAAAACAAAUAGCAGAGACUGUUCUUUCUACACAGGGGGUUUCGUGUAUAGGAGUUUACUAACUCAGUUAAAAAUAAACCAGCCCCAAAUUGACUGACAUGAAAAGUCAGUUUAAAAAAAAAAGAGAGCUUAUAAACUGUAGGAAACAAAAUGAUUUUUGGAAACAUAUUUUCCCUUAAUUGGACAUCUAUUUCUAGAUGGAGUCAUUUGUGUAUGGAAUCCAGCCGUAUGGCUUUUGUUUGACAGUGAGAUGAUCAGUUCCUCGAAGUGUGAACGUCACGUGGAGAACCCCAUCAGUGCCUUAAAAAGGAUUCCUGCCCUAGCAGGGCUUUGUCAGCAAUGUCAGAGGGUGCGGAAUCAAGCUGUGUUGUAAUCCCUAAUUGUAUGUCAUCACAUAAUGACCUUUUAAUGGUAGUGAUGGCUUUGUGGGUUGUAGUUAGAGCCCCAGGGAGGGGUGGACUCCCAUGUGCUGGGUGCUGCAAAGGGCAGGUAUAGCACAGAGGCUGUUGGUUUUACAGGCCUUACAGGAAAGGCAAGUUGAUGUGGAUCUGGGUAUAGGCAGGACAGGCAGCUGCCUUGAGCAGCAGUCUGCUGGAUAGACAUAAGGCAGCCCUGCUCCUGCAGCUGACCUUGCCUCUGCCAGGACCCUUGAGGAGGGCUGGGGCUCCUGACAGACGUUGGUGGUGGGGUGAUAACUAAUGCUGGGAAGAGCAGCCACCGCCCCCAGUACUUUCUUUCCUCCAAAUGACUGCAGGAGCAUCUACCCCUACUCUUAAGAGCUCUGCCAGCCCUCCAUCUCCUUUUACAUUCUCUCUUCUUAACUCUUUCCUUCCCACAGCAAAAUUGACCUGUCCAGGCUCCUCAUCCCGCAGAUGUCAAAGCUUGUGAGACUCUAAUGAUAGGGCUCUUUUAAAAGCCCAGUCCAACCAGAUCGCAAGCCUCCCCGAUCCCCUUCCUCCGCUCUGAUCUCACUGCCAUCAGUGGAAGUCGUGGGUGCUCAGCAUCAGGCAUGCCCACUGUUGUUUGACUUCCAGAGACCUACAUGUAGAAAUGUACUGCUGUUUCUCUGCAGUACCUUCCAAAAGGGUGAGUUUCAUGCCUGUUCUAAUUUAUUUCCAUGAGUUUGCCAGUAGGCCAUUCUGUAAACAGAGAUAGAGCUGAAGGAAGCAGACACAGCUCUGUUUAUCAGAGAGAUGUGAAGGAUGAUGAUGUUUCACACUAUGAGCAGGUUACAUCAGAGAUAUUUCCAAACCCUGUAACCUUUUCUACCCUGCUCCUUGAAUGGUACUGUAGGCUACAGUUGUACUAGAAAAUUAAAUGUAGGAUCUUUCUCUGGCACUGAAACCAACUGGAAUGGAAAGGUCUGCAUUCACUUCAUUAAACCUCAUUACCCUCCAGAAGUGGGCGGCUGCCUGCAAACCCCUUAGGAAGAAUUGUUCCUGGCCUGGGCUAAAUCAACAGACUGCUUGAAGGGAUUGUCUGGGAGGACCCCUCCUUGGUCCGGGUCAAAACUGUGCGAGGGAACGUACAAACAAUUUAACAGAGUGGGUGAUUCAGUUCUGGAGUCUGGGUACACACCCUGACACCAUUUAAUGUAUUAAUAUAGUCAUGGCCAAGGUGCCUCUUGCCUUUGAGCAUUUGAUUUUGUAAACCCUCUAACACAACCGCCACCUUCAAAGCCCUUUUUUCUGUGUCGGGGUGAGAGGUGACAGUGGACCAGAGAAGGAAAGAUGGAGGCAGCAUAAGCCCUGCUGGAGGGGAGAAAAAAAGAGCAGCAGGCAGGAAUCUCCCAUACAGGAUCUCCCUCUUUGCAGGGCAGAGACUUGUGUCGCUCCACCUCCUAGCAGGAAAAUACCAGAGACUGUAAUCACCCAAGUGGGAAAUGCUCCCAGCUUUCUUGGUGGCAUCUGUUUCUUAGUCUCCCCCUGCCUGAAUGUGCAUUUGCUGUUUCUGUGAGGAGACAGGAGGUGCGAAGCUGCGCUCCCCAGGCUGGGGAAGAAGUCAAGGCUUCUAGCCAAGGAUGAGACCUGUACUUCCAAUAGAUAAGUUGCCACUUUAACCACUGUUCUUUAACCAGCUUCUCAAGUUUUCUGGUCAGAUAUAAAAGAGCAAGUCUUUGGGGUAUUAGUUUCCAGUGUCUUUGGUUAACACUUGAGAUCAACACCUCCAGCUUUUUGGGCUUGCAUCAGAUUACAUGCUAGUAUGGGCUCACCCUGGCAACAUGUUCUUACAGCAAAUUUGGAGGCACAGGCUUUUGUGAUACCUUGCAUGGGCUGGUGCUUUCACAUCAACCCAGCAAGUCACUGGUGCCCAACUACUACUGCUGGCCUGAUGUCAAACCCCAGACCCCAGGAAUAGUACUCCUGGUCAGUUAGUUAGAGGGGACGUCUGACACGGUCAUCUCCUUAGACAUUUUUUUGUUCAUCUGAGUUUGCUUCCCAAAGUCUCCUGUUUUCCUCAGAAUUACUUCUGCUUCAGUUGAAACUAAAGGCUUAUUUUUCUUUUCUUUUCCUGUCUCCUUCUGAGAAGGAGAGUGCAGCCUGCAGACAGCCAAAGCCUGAGCUCAGGAGUGCAGUGCUGGAAUGCCUCUCCUGGGUCAGGGUGUCCAUUUCCUGACUGCAACAGCCUAUCAUGUCACACAAGCUCCUUCAUAAUGCGUCAAACUUAUCUUUAAAAAUAGUCAGGCUUCUUGUCUCUGGCCUCUGGAGCAGAGGCAGAAAGUGAAACUUUUAAAACUGUCUCAAAGAAACAUUUCCUGUCCACAGGACAGACUUCACCUGGUGACAGCUCUGUUUGCUUAAUUUUUCCCAGUUCCUGCACGCUUCUUUGCGCAUUCUCUUCUCUGCCCCUUCCAGGCUCCAGAAAGUAAAUUCACUCCAGCCGUUUGGGGGAACCUGAAGAUUAACUCUUGCCACGUCUUGGCCUGACCUUUUUCGAUAUACUCAGCUGCUCCCUCUCAGCCCCUCCUGGCAAACAGGCAGGCAGUACAUCCCACCACAAAGCAGUUUCUGGCUAAAUGCCCAUAUUCAGCUGGAGUCAUGUCAAGGCAUGGGCCACUUUGACGUUUCCUGUAACAGCGGACAACUGUUGGACCGGUUAUCAUGCGUCAGGCCUUUGUGAGGUUGCUGCCUUGCUGGCAUAGUGUCAAAGACCUGUGCGUCCCUAAAGUCACCCUGCUAGCUUGUUAGUGUGGUGCCAACAUACUCUGGUCCCUCUGAGGCUGCUGACCCCAAGCUCUGGGCUCAGCUGUGCUUUUCUGUAAGCAUCCCAGGAUCAAGCUGUUUGAACAUGGCACAGUUUACUCAGUGAGCCUUGCAUAACUGGCCUUGCAUAGCACUACAAAGCUCCCACAGUGCUCUCUUUUUGACUUCUCACUUCUGAAGUUAAAGUAAUUUUGGCUGGCUGUAUGCUUAUUUCUGGGAUGGUCUGUGGCUGUGCCCCACAACAGACUUGUUGGAGCAUGCUAUGCAUCUGUUGGAGCAUACCACGAGUCCCUUUUUAGGGUAUUCACCCAGGCUUCCUUCCUCUGCAGACCAAAACAGUGUGUCAUGUCUGGUAUGGGACACAGGAUAAGCAGUGUGGCAUGGAAAUUCAGAAAGACUUCUGUCAUCUAGGCUUACUCUUUACAGUACAGUUUCUAAUGCUUUGCCUGGCACCACUGUUUACUUGCGUGAAGAAGGACAAGCCAGGGGAAGACCCUCAGUUCUGGCAGUUCUUUGUCACUCUCUGUAUUGUUGCCAUAGCAUGAAAUGACAUCUGAUGGCUUUGUGAGAUGGGAUACAACCUGUUGCAGAGAAGAAUCACUGUGACAUGUACGAAAAGCCCUUGUCUCCUCAGCCAUCUCCCUAGAAGUGCCAGAAGGGAAUAGACUGGAAACUACAUCUGUGGAGACUCUGGUAGCGGGCUUGAGCAUACCUUCAAGGUUAUGGACUAAAAGCCAUCAAGCAGGCACAAACAUGGCACUGCAGUACGCAACAACGUGCAGGUGGUGAGGACAGUCAGAGCACAGGGGCUGACAUGCAAAAUGGGGAAUACCUGGCAGUGUAGACACAGCUCAACAGAGCCAUUUGGUUUCCUCUUGAUUCUGGCUAAGCAGAAAAAAGAGGAAGCUUUCACCUGAAGUUUAGGAGGGCUAGAAAUAGCUAGAAAGUGCUAUCUUUCCCUGUCUGGACUUUUUGUGAAAAGCUAGAGGGCAACAGAAGAGGACAGGACCUUUCUAGAGAAGAAUGGCAGCUGACACAGGACUUAGAGCUAAUUUAGAGAUAAUUUUCCCACUCACUUGCUAAUGCUGUUCUUCCUACUGCCUCAAAGUCUUGG
RNA transcript from Harpia harpyja (harpy eagle), 5812 nucleotides. RefSeq lists it as uncharacterized. The record is from RefSeq and is a predicted model, not a curated record. The transcript has 7 exons. NCBI's taxonomy places the organism in Eukaryota, Metazoa, Chordata, Aves, Accipitriformes, Accipitridae.